UCACCUGCGCGUCUGUCGCCGCUUCCGAGCCUAACUGGGGCUUUUUCCCUGUCGGCGGGCCCUUUUAAACUGAACUGUUAACAUACCUGGACCUCAUUCUCCUUCAGGCCUCCCACUAAGCCCCAAUAUCAUUUAGGCCUUGGGCCUUUCUGGCCCCUGUAUUGUUGCCCAAGCCUCACUCUUUGGCAUUGGGCCUCAGGCUUUCCUGGCCUCCAUAUUGUUUCCCAAGGCUGUUGCUUUUCUCUCAGGGUGCACUCCCUUAGCCUUUCCCCUUCACAGGGUCACCCAUAAAGCAGUGGGGGCUGAGGCUUUCUGGCACCUCACUGGCUUUCACUAGGGAGGCACUGGUGUGGCAUUUCCUGGGGACUGCCCUGCUACUAGCAGCCCCCACCAUACCAUGCUCCCCAGCAGGAUGUAGUUUUAGGUCAUACCCCAGAACCACCACAGGCCAACCUGCCCUGGUCUUUCCUCCCCUCACUGGGCUCCGGGAUGUUCUCCCUGGGCUACUCACUCCUGGGCACUCUGCUGCAGCCUCCAUCUCAUCACCUACCCUCAGUCACUGGCCCCUUCACUCUCAGGCCCCUUGUAGGCUACCUCCCAUCUGGUGGCUGAACUUCAGCCUCCGUCAUACCAGCCUGCUUGCUGGCUGACCUCCUGUCCUCUCUCAGCAGUGAUGUCCCCCCGCUCUCCCCAAUCAAAGGAACCUCCAGCCUGUGUUAAGCUCUGGACCUGCCUCCAGGCCAGUCGGGGUGCCAGUAGCUCUCCGCAGCCCUGGCCUGCCCCUUGCAGUGGGCUUCCAUGCCCUUCAGCCUGUCAGCCUUGGCCCCCUUGCAUUGACCAGUCGCGAGUCUGAGGAUCAGUCUGGCAGCAGCUGACCUCCCUACUCAGCAGGGGUCCCCCCUUGAACCCUACCAUACAGCCAUCAACUCCCACCAGGGCUGCCUCGUGCCCCAGAGAUCUUCUGUCCAGCAGCCCUUUACUCCACUGGACUCAUCUGAGCCCCUGGCCUCAGUCCCAGCCAGUUCCAUUCAGGGGCUUGCCCAGCCCCUCAGUAGGCCCACGCUCUCUAACCCCUUUCCUAGGCUGGCCUAGCUAUCCUUAGCCCAUAGCCAUUUCCUCAGGGCUUGGGACCCACCCCACUGGGCCCCUAGGAACCUCCUCCAUCCCUAUAGCUCCUGCCCUGACCUCCAGCAUGUUCCUGGGAACAGAAGAGCUCCAGCUGGGUGAUGCUAUUUCAGCAUCAUCCCUACAGCACCUGUUGGCUCUGCUCCUCAGGGCCAAAUCUUAUACUGUGGUUGCUCAACCCUGCUCCAGUAAGGUAGCCUCCUAGCUGUCAUGUGGCCACCUGAUUGCCUCUGCUGUCACCUGCAGGCUGCCUCUCAGCUUGCUCAAGCCCUUAAAGUGUCAAGCACCCAAAGGUGUGCCGCCACACACAUCCCCGCUUAAAAUACUUCUGGGGGGGGGAGGAGGAUGUCCCUCUGCCGCUCCACUUGCAGGCUUGUCUGCAGCCUGUACAAGCCCUUGAAGUGGCGAGCACACAAAUGGUGCUCCUUCUCACCUACUCAGUGCUGGUUACAGCUCGACUGCAUCCAGUUUUGGAUACCAUAUUUUAACACGGCUGCAAAGAAGCUGGAGGGACUCCAAAGGCAAGAGACCCAAUUGAUAAAGGAAUUGGGAUACAAGCUAUAGGAGGAAAGGGUGUGAGAGCUAGGUAGGAUUAGUCUGGAGAAAAGGAGAUCAAGGUGAGAGCAUUGACAGCAGUUUUCAAAUACUUGAAUGGCUGCCAUAAAGAAGCCAAGCUGAGGAUGAAAAGCAAUGGGUUUGAACAGCAGCAGAACAGAUGUAAAUUAAAUUUAGGAAAAAUGUCCUAACUGUCAGGAACUCAUUGGCCAGGGCUGCUGGGAGAUCUCCUUCACUAGAGGUUUUCAAGAACAGGCCAGACAGGCAGCAAGCAGCUGUCUUGGAUGGUUCAGGAAUAGGGCAGCCAACAUCUGUGCCAGGGCUUGAACGACCUUUGAAGGACACUUAAGGUCCUUUCUAACUCUACGAUGAUAUGACAGAUGCAUUUGGUGGGAAUGAGAAGAGAAAUUCCACUGUCAGGUUUUCUUUUUUCCCCCCCGUGCAUAUUUAGCUCAGUGGGAGUCUGGCAAUUAUCUUCCUCUGUGAUAUAUGAAGAUGAGUCCCAUAUACACAGGUGUAGACUGUAUAGUGUUGUAGCAUACAUGCAUGUGUGUGUGGGCACAGGUAUAUGGCCACAAACCCAUGGUGUUGUGUAAUCAGAUUGCAAAACCAUGACGGGUAGAGCCUUUGGUCCACAUGCCUUUCGUCCUGAGGCAGUUAGACAGCAAAACUCACCCCUGCUGUGGUCCUGCUGAGUGCUAGGGGCAUGGGUGUGAGCAGCAGCCACAGCUGGUGAUUCUGGUCCCUGGACUGUGAGGACCAGAUGCGAGCACAGCCCUGCCAUGGGGUGACAGGGGUUGAGCCCAGUAGUCUUUGCAAUGCAGAGGACAUUUGAUGCACAGAAACAUAAAAUCAGGAAAGUGUGUGUGUGUCUGUGCAUGCAGUUUUCAGACACAAUUAAUUAUACAGGUGAGAGGGAAGGCAGCUCUGAUAAAACUUUAACUAGGCUGUGUUUUUCUACAUUAGGCUGAAUAAUAAGCCGCCUGCUAAUUUCCAGGCAUGAUGGGGGAAGAGUCCAGCCCUUUCAUGUUCAAGGAGGGGAGCAUCACAUGCUAAUGCGCUGCUGUGAUAGCGCAGGAGACAAAAAGGCGUUCCUGCUAUUUCCAGAUGAAAGGCCUCUCAAGCUCGCUGUGCUGAAAUGCCCUUUUAGUCUCUGUCUCUCUGCAUUAAAGGGUCACAUCUCCCACUCGCAGCCAGUUCAGCUAAGUAAUUUCAAAGACAUUUCUGUUCAACUCAGAUCAAUGUGUUGGGUCUGUAACACUUUUGUCUUCUUGCUGCAGAUGGUUUGGGGGUGGGGGGAGGGAUGAUCCCUUUGGCAGCCUGGGCUAUUCAUGGCCAGAUGGGAGUUCUGUUCACCUUGUCUGACCAUCACAGGCCAUUGAGUUUCACCUAGAUACAUUUUAUUGAGCCCAAAGUGUUUAGUCAAACCAAAGCACUGGUGUUCUUAGGGUACUAGAUUGUGUUUCAGAAGCAGAGACUGGAAGAGGCUAAUAGUGCAUCCUCUGCAAUGGCAACUGGCUGGUUAGGUAGGAUAGGCUUAGAUGAUCUCAGCAGUUUGUUCUGGGAGAAGAUACUUUCUCCACCCUGAAUUUGGCUGUUAGUUCGAUCCUGAGUGAGAAUUAGAAGCACCUACCAGGAAUUUGAGAGAGUUUGCAUGUUCUGUGCCUCUGCAGCACUUUGGUUCACCUUGUCUGGUGGCCUGUCUCUAGCUAUGGUCACUUGCUGAUGCUUCAAAGGAAAACCUAAAAAGACCCCAGACCUCAGAAUGUGUGUCCAAGUUUGCAGUGGGGGGGGUGGGAUUCCUGUCUUCCUUCACUAGGUGAAUGACUGAAAACCUGAAGCAUGAGAGGUGAUGCUGACCAUUGCCUUCAUACAGAGCUGCAAGUGUUGAGAGCACUGCAAGCAUCUUGUUGUCCCCAAAGGACUGGGUGUGGCUGGGAUGAGUGUGGGGGCUCAGGGCAUGUCUACUCCACAUCCCCAGUGCUUCCAGGAAGGCAUAUCCUUGAACGUGCUCUGCGCACCCAUUCCUGCUUGCAUAUGAUUAACCCAACGAUAUGGUGAUGAAGUUCUCAAGAUGUUGGUCUCUGGUGCAUCUGAGCACAGGCACUGGGAAAGCUACUUCAGCAUGUAUCCACCCUCACCAUCGGGCAAUUGCAUCUGAUUUCAAGGAUGUGUUUGUCUGACUCCAGUUUUCUUCACUGGGUCACACUGGGCCCUUGUCAGCAAGGCUGGAAGAGCCUGUGUUAUCGGAGAUCUCCAGAGGGGCAGCAGCACACGUAGUGAGCAGGUCACCUCUCCAAGGCCUUUUUCAUAGGACAAAUGGCUGGAGCUGCAUGGUGUGAUGGCUUGCUUGUAUGUCCCUCUUGAGCCUCUCUCCAGCAUGUUGUCCUCACCACAGGAAUGAUGUCACCAGAACUGGACAGGUCUCAGCACCAGCUCAGCACUUCCCAGAUGCACAGGCAUAGCCCACUGGUGCUCCACAUCCAUGGAUGCCAGCCCUUUCCCCCACAGCAUGUCCCUGAGAGCUCACAUUGAAGCCAUUAUCUGUCAUGGCCCUGACAUCCUUCUCUGAGUCGCUGCUUUCCAAGGCAGCCCCCUGUCCUUUAGGUGUACCUGCUGUUCCUGUUUCUCAACAGGACUGGAUAGUGUUAAAACUCAUCUCACUAAAUCAUGACCCCUUAACCAGGGGACUCAGCUCACACUACCAUUCCAAUUAUUUACUGCCCCAGCCAGCUCUGUGAGCCUGCAAAGCUAGUGCAUCAUUGUCCAGAUUGCCAAUAAAAAUAAAUACUGUUGGAGCAGGAGCCAGCCCCUUGAGGUCCCUUUGUGAAACAGCCCUGCUGGUUGCAGCCUUCCCAUUAACGACUACACGGUGAAGCCUUUAUACGAGGCAGUUUAUAAUCGAUCUACCAUGUGCCCUGCUAACACCAUAAAAUGAAAGCUUUUCAUCAGCUUGCAGUGUGGUACUAAGUCAAAUGCCUUUGAGAAGUCCAAGUAUAGCCUCUCAACUCCACUUGUCAUCCUGUCGGAAAAGGCAACAGGCUGGAUUGACAACACCAGUCUUCUCCUAUGCUAGCUGGACUGGCCCUAUUUUUUUCAGCCACUGAACAGUUGCUGAUAGAACUGCUGAUGAUUGUCCCCAAUCCAGGGGAGGCAGCUGCGCAGACACCGGCAGGAGAGAAGGGCAAAGUGAGGUGGGCCUUCUCUCGUGUACAUGCCCUCAGUACUGUAAGGCCUAUUUCAAGGCCCCAUUUAAGUGCAUAGUUUGUAUUGAAAAGUAAUUACUUGAGACGUGCUGCUACAAAGGCUGUCGAGGAUGCUCAGUUAUCAAGCACCACUGCAGGGGGGGAAGGCAGGAGAAACAGCAGCAUCCCAUGAGUUAGGUGCCGGAAGGGGCAGGGAAAGGUGGGGUGGGAGGGGGAAAGUUGGCAUUAGCAGAGCUUAGAGCCUUGGUUCUGCCCUUCCAGUGCCCUGGGGAGCAGAGCUGCUGGGCUUUUCUGGUGGUGUGACCCAGAUACAAACACCUAACAUACACAUGGGCCAUCCCACCUCGCACAGGAGGAAAGCUGGUACAUGGAAGGUGUCUGGGGAAUGCAAGCACUGCCUAGCCCUGUUACGUUACUCCAGAAUCUGUGGCACCUACCAGAGCCCCUCUGUCAAGAUGUGCCUGACUCGUCAAUCUAAUAAUGCUCUGACUAAUACCACCUGGCUCUUCCAGUGCAAUGGUCAGCCAUGCAGGUGCAAGCACUUUACCAAUCAAAGUGAAGACACUUGAAAGUCAGGAAAUGCAAAUUGCAAGUUGCCUUGGCAACCCUAAUCCAUCCCGCUUGUGCAUACGCUUCAUGAUACAGCUUCAGCCACUUACUUCCAGGCUGUUUCGCGCGUGGCAGGAUGGCAAAUGAAAUGAUCUCUUUCUGAAAAGCUCCCAGUCCAGGCCUGCAUGCACUGAUACACAUGGUGAGUUUUACUGGUGAGCAUGAUUCUUUGGGACUCUGUGGAUAACCAGCCAUCAGUGAAGCUGCUUUGCUGGUGUUUCUGAGAUGGGGCCCUUAGAGACAGUUCCCUGCAGCAGAGAAUUGCAGUCAGCCAGGGCCAGCAGGGACUUCAAGAGGUUAUGUAAUCUACUGCAACACCCUCCUUGUUGGCAUUGACUUAGCCUGAGAUUGUAAUGGGGCCUAGAGAGACCAGAGUAAUUUAGGGAAGUCAGUUAUCCAGCUUCUUAUGCAGCCCCUGCUUGUCUUCUGUCCAAGCAUUUUUCUCAAUAAACAUUUUAUUUCUGAUUUCCCCAUUCCAGCCAUUGGUAAGGUCUUCUCUGCUACAAUGACAGGUGGGAAAAACAAAAUCCUCAAGGAAAGAACAAGAGAAUAAAGGCACCUCUCCUUCCCAUGUGCAAUCCUUCCCAUUACGUUGGUCACCCUCAAAGGCUUCCAGAAGAGCUACUGCUAGAAGAGCCCAGAGGAAGUGAUGGAGUCAGGAGAGGCAUCGGGAACAAUGACUGUGGUCAGCUGUAACAAGUAUCCGGAAUUCAGAGUGCGUGGUAGAGAGAAGCCCCAAGAAGGACAACAUCAUCAAAGAAGUGAGGGCUUGACGCGUGACUUCGCCAUGACGCCCACUGAAUCCCUGAUAGUUCAAUUCUUUAUUAUGAAUAUAAUUGCGUGUGUACGUGUUUGUGCCGGCUAUUAUUUGAUUCGAUCCCUGGAGGAUGAACUUAUUAUGUUGUCUGAUUUUGUGUUUACCCGUUUAGUUCAACAACCCGUUGUAAGAGCUACUGGCGACCUGAGUGACGAGCAUGUAGUAUAAUUCAGCUGUGCCUUCAGCAAGGGGGGAUGUCAUGACCAAUGAUUGUGUGCACGCUUUGGCACUGCAGAACUAUUUCCAACCACACGGAGCUUUCUUUGCACGGUGCAAUUCUCAGCUGCAGAGAGAAAACCCCGGUGCAAAGGAGUUCCCGCCACCCGUAUGUAAAUUUGUUUCCCACUAUUGGCUAUUUCUAAAUUAUUCCCAUGUGGCGGCUAGCGAUUGGCUUGCUAGUCGUAUAAGAGGUUUGAGCAGUUUCCACCCAAGUUGUAGAGGACUCCACAACCAUCUCGUGGGGACUCUGAGCACGCGGCAGAGUAAUAGAAACUUCGUGUGCGUCUCAGAGGAGUUCAGUGCCCUGAUCGACCACCAACCUCUUCCCGUCUCGUUCGUUAAAUUCUUAAGACGUAUCUACGGUUUUGCGCGCUCGUCAAGGGUAUCCAGAGCUCUGUCGUGUUUGUUUUGCGGAGCCUAGCAAACUCCAUGCAUGUGUCUUCGGUAGAGCCUAGCAAACUCCACUUGUGUUUGUCUGUAACUGCAACUCAAGAAAGUUUUUCCUGCCUGCACCGCAACCACCUACGGUGUAAGUAAAACAAUCUUUAAUUAA
Long non-coding RNA from Alligator mississippiensis (American alligator), 7084 nucleotides. RefSeq lists it as uncharacterized. The record is from RefSeq and is a predicted model, not a curated record. The transcript is spliced from 2 exons. NCBI's taxonomy places the organism in Eukaryota, Metazoa, Chordata, Crocodylia, Alligatoridae.